GAAUGGCGAAAAAUGAUCCAUAUAACCUUUGGAGUCACUAGGAGGAGGGCGAAAGAGAAGAAGGCUUUCAAUGAUGCAUCAUAAUUGCAAUGUUUUGGUGCAUCUAGGUAAAUAGAAAUGCAAGUUUUUUCAAAAGAUUAACAUAGAUUCGUGCAGUUGUCUAGGAAAGAAUGGUGUUUCUAGUUUCUCUAUGACAUUAGAAAGAAUUACUAAAAGUUCUUACCUUGACCAAUAAACUUCCUGAUAAACAAUCAAAAAUGAAUAUCUUAUCAUAUGCAAGAUUCAUUGUGCAAAAAUGACUUCUCAUUCCAGACUAGUUAAUCAAAAUAAUAGCAACAUAUAGCUAUAACAGAAUUGCAUGCCUUAUGAAACUGAAAAGUGG
RNAcentral lists this unclassified non-coding RNA (382 nucleotides) under Hevea brasiliensis (rubber tree). The record is from RNAcentral. Lineage: Eukaryota; Viridiplantae; Streptophyta; Magnoliopsida; Malpighiales; Euphorbiaceae.